This 3061-nucleotide long non-coding RNA is filed under the name Salvia miltiorrhiza (redroot sage). RNAcentral describes it as "long non-coding RNA (SMIL_LNC007931)". The record is from RNAcentral. Lineage: Eukaryota; Viridiplantae; Streptophyta; Magnoliopsida; Lamiales; Lamiaceae.
AAUCAACAACAUUCAAAGCCUUAGGAUCACAAGUUCGGUUUCAUGCUUCCGAUAACCAACAUUCACUGAUUGAAAUACUUUGAGAGUCAAUAGUUUAGGCUCAACAAAAGAUAUUGUUUAGAAUCGCAACAUGAUAGGUCUUAAGUUAAGAAACAAAAGACAGAUACUGGCUAGUUCUGCAGCGGAAAUCAAAAUAAGGAGUUGAACUCUAGCCUCAGCUCUGCCCCGUCAUCACCAGCCAUUAACCUGAAAACAUUUGAAAGUAAUUUUGGGCUAAGUACUAAUGUACUUAGUGGGCUGCAACUUUUAAAGCAUUUCAUAAUCUGAAGAACAGUUUAUCCAAUCUUACUGACAUGACAUAGAAGGUUUUAAAGAGAAAUAACUUCUAUGCAUGUUAAACAUUUUCAUAUAUAUAUACUUAAUUAUUUUGCGCGCGUUUGCACACUCCAUUCUGUUACUCGCUGUGAUCCCGGACCUCUAGCCACCGACGGAUCUCUGUCUCCCGCUGACUUGAACUGAGGGCGUAACCCAGCCAAGUAUAAUAAACCUCGGAAAUUAAUCCAGACAGGCCUAUCAUUACUAUGCUCCGGAACACAUCCCGUCGAGCACCCUUAUAACGCCUCUGGUUAGUGCCCGAUGGAGAUCAACCACCGAGUCAGCUAACAAGUGUACACAAUUCUCAAACAACGUGUUAGGUCAUAAGAGAACCUCAAUUGAUUAACUGUACGAGCCUUAAACAUGGUAGAGUGCACAAAAAUAUUUUAUUGGAUAAACAGUUUAUAUUACACGAAUAUUUAAGCUCAAUAGCUAAAUCAUACAUUUGAAAAAUAAGCCCACCUGUCUAGGCAAAGCCUGUCGUUUAACCUUAUCUCUGAAUCGGAAUAGCAGUGCUAAUCCUCCUGAUGCUCAAAGCCUACAAGAAAUCUAUUCUUAAUAGGUCUCCUUGAAUUCUAAUCUUAAGUCAUGGUGAAGUGCUUAAUAUUCUAUGAUUCACUUAGCCGGGUUUUCAAAAUUUAAUGAAUAAAUAAUUGAAAACAUUUCUCUUGAGUUAAGAACACCAACAAUAUUCUUACUCAUCUUUCUUUAAUAAUUGGAAUUAUAAAUAAAACCAAUUAAAUCAUAAAUACUCUUUUUGCAAAAUAUAAUGCAAUUUCAUGUCAUGCUUAGCAUAUAAUAAGUAAUUACUUAAAAUAUGCUUAUAAUAAUAAUUUAAUAUUAUUAUAAAAAUUUACUCUUUGAAAAUAAUUAAUUAAACUUAAUAAGUCUAAUUAAUUAUAAUAGUGUAGCUCCUUUAAAUAAAAUAUGCACAAAUCCAAUUAAAUAAAUACUUGGGCAGCCCAUGAUUUAAAAUAAUCAAAGGCCCAACUUAAUAAAAGAAAAUCGGCCCAAAAUUAAGAAAUAACUCAGCCCAUUUAAUUAAAAAUCUCGGCCCAAGUACUCAUAAAAUCGUCCCAUAACUAAAUUAAAUAAACUGAGCCCAUUACUGACUUGGCCCAAAGACUCAAGCCCAACUAGAAAAAAAUAAAAUAAAAAAAAAAUAAAAAAAAAAAACGGACCCAACUCGGCCCAAAUUCUAACAAAAUUUUCAGCCCAACACUAUUAAAAACCCGGCCCAAAUUUAAAGCCCAACCCCUAACCCAAACCUAAAGCCCAACACCCCCACCACCCUUUUUCUUCCUCCCCAGCCGCACACACACACACAUACUAUCACAUCUCACUCUCUUCUCCCUCUCUCGGCUCCCUCUUCCCUCAUCUCUCGCUCCCUUCUCUCUCAGCCAUCAGUCCCGCCACCGCGCAUCCUUCCGGCGAGGCAGCCGUCGACCGGCAGCCGCAUCAACCGAAAAGACCAGCCGCCUUCCUCGGCCCCUCUCUCUUCGGCUGGUAACAGCCGCCCACCGUGGAGCUCGCCGGAGGAGCAGCAGCGACGAGCUGCCGCCACCAGCUCUCUCUCUCUCUGACAGUGGCCGAGAGACAGCAGCCAAGGCCACCGAGUUCUAGCCUCCCUCUGAAAGCUCAACCCCCGCGGUUCUACCUCCGGCGAUAGCAGCCCCAGCCGCCACCGCUCCUCCCUCUCAAACUCCGAUCCUCCCUCUGGAACUCCGGCGAUAGCAGCGAGAAGCCACUACCGCCGCCGACUUCGACUCUCUCUGGAUCGACGGGCAGCAGGAGCAUCAAGCCACCGCCGCCGUCGUCCUCUCCUUCCCCACUCUUCACCGUAGCUAGGCAGCAACGGCAGAGCCGCAGCGCCUGGCUUCCCUCUCGGACUUCUUCCGAUAAGCAGCAGCAGAAGCCGCCCGCCGGAGCCCUAGGCUCGGCCUCCCCUGACUCUCUUCUCAAACCCUCGCCGGAGCAACGGCGAUGAGCCGCCUCACAGCCCCCGACCUUCUAUCUUUCCAGCCAGACCGACAGUGGCGCCGAGCCACCGCCGUCGACCUUCCAGCCCAAAAUCGACAGAUGUAAACAAAGCUCAAACUUUUCUUUCUUCUUUUGUAAAUCAUGCUUUGAAUGUAAAUAUAUAUGACAGUGUAUGAAUAUGCACCGAAAUGAUGAGAUGAAAGUAUGUGUGUGAUUCUUGCUUGCAGUGAAGAUCUUUAUACAAAAUGAAGUGGGUUUCUUAAUCAAACUGUGAAAUGAAAAUAAGCAAGAAUUAAAAGAUGAAACCUUUGAAUGUUUAGUGGGGAAAGUCCUCAAGCUGAAAGCUUCGUGUGAUCUUCAAGAGUUUUUGAUUUGAGUUUGCUGAAAUUUAAGGUGUGUUGUUGCUGGAUUGGUGAGGGGAAUGGUUGCUCUCUGUUUCAGUUUUCCUUCACGAAUGAGUGGUGAAGGAAAAGUCUUGAUUGAAUUGGGAGAAGUUGAAUUGGCAGAGAAAUUUGGGGCAUUUGAUUUCCUCUGCGCGUGACAUAAAGCCUGAAUUUUGGGCUUGAUUGGAGGAAUGAGGUGGCCAUGGUGUAAAGUGGAGUGUAGGGUUGGUGUGAAUGAAUUUGCAGGGAAAGUGUCGUGGGUGGAAAAUAAAGAGUGUGAGUGGAAAUAGGUGGGUGGGUGGAAGACAAAAGUAACAUGUGAG